GGUACUUUAGCUUAGUGGUUAAGAGCACACUCAAAUAAAGAGUAUUAAAGAGUAUUAAAGAAGUCGCGGGUUCGAAUCCUGCAAGUGCCA
Molecule: non-coding RNA, 90 nt
Organism: Mycena galopus ATCC 62051
Lineage: Eukaryota; Fungi; Basidiomycota; Agaricomycetes; Agaricales; Mycenaceae
Source: the annotation of a GenBank genome assembly